CCUCUUCUUACAUAACAUUAGUCUUAACCAAAAGAAACAAAAAGAAAAAAAAAAAUGAAUCGUCAGGUUUUAUCCUUAAUCAUUUCGAUCAUUCUCUUACUCUCUGCGUACAACACAACUAUGGGACGAACGUUGCCAAGCGAAGGGAAUGGAGCAUUACAAUUUGGAAAUAUAAAAGCUGGUGUUACAGGAAGUAUAUCGCAACGUGGGAAAGGGCAUGGACCUUGAGACCUUCAUGAAACCAAUAUUGAUAACAUUUAUGAUUUGUAUCACUAUUCAUCAAUACAUUGCAGCGAUUCAUGAAACAGCCUAUUUUUUUUUUUCCUCUCUAUCUGUAGUUUUACUCAUGCGUGUACUUUUUCUUUCAAAACUAAUAUGGAGAUGUAUACCAAAAUUUAUAUCGUACUA
Long non-coding RNA from Camelina sativa (false flax), 408 nucleotides. RefSeq lists it as uncharacterized. Lineage: Eukaryota; Viridiplantae; Streptophyta; Magnoliopsida; Brassicales; Brassicaceae. The record is from RefSeq and is a predicted model, not a curated record.